UAUGCGUUCCUCGGACG
Molecule: small RNA, 17 nt
Filed under: Arabidopsis thaliana (thale cress)
Lineage: Eukaryota; Viridiplantae; Streptophyta; Magnoliopsida; Brassicales; Brassicaceae
Source: RNAcentral